This 253-nucleotide ribosomal RNA is filed under the name uncultured bacterium. RNAcentral describes it as "partial 16S ribosomal RNA". It matches the Rfam family "Bacterial small subunit ribosomal RNA", at positions 524 to 776 of the family's 1533-position model. The record is from RNAcentral.
UACGUAGGGGGCAAGCGUUGUCCGGAUUUAUUGGGCGUAAAGAGCGUGUAGGCGGUUUGGUAGGUCCGCUGUGAAAACUCGGGGCUCAACCCCGAGCCUGCAGUCGAUACGGGCAGACUAGAGUGCUGUAGGGGAGACUGGAAUUCCUGGUGUAGCGGUGAAAUGCGCAGAUAUCAGGAGGAACACCGGUGGCGAAGGCGGGUCUCUGGGCAGUAACUGACGCUGAGGAGCGAAAGCGUGGGGAGCGAACAGG